Molecule: non-coding RNA, 72 nt
Organism: Phrynosoma platyrhinos (Desert horned lizard)
Lineage: Eukaryota; Metazoa; Chordata; Lepidosauria; Squamata; Phrynosomatidae
Source: the annotation of a GenBank genome assembly
GUCAGUGUGGUAUAGUGGUUUGAGCAUUGGACUCUGACUCUGCAGACCAGGGUCCAAAACCCUGCUCAGCCA